Lathyrus oleraceus (garden pea) is the source of this 2165-nucleotide long non-coding RNA. RefSeq lists it as uncharacterized. NCBI's taxonomy places the organism in Eukaryota, Viridiplantae, Streptophyta, Magnoliopsida, Fabales, Fabaceae. The transcript is spliced from 4 exons. The record is from RefSeq and is a predicted model, not a curated record.
CUGGAGCAUGCUCUUCACGUGCUGGAAAGUCAAAAUGAGUCAAAAGAUUGUUUUCCCUCCAUUGAUCUCUGGUUCCAUCCGCCGCGCUGGAGGUCGCCUUCGGCAGCGACGGAGUUAUAAGGCCUAAAGCAACUACAUCGUCUUCUAUAUCUCUUCACCCUGAAUCUAACCAACACAAUAACGAAGCCUGAUUCCUCCUCCAUCCUCUAAAUCGAAGCCAAAAAUUCAAGAACCCUAAACUUCCUAGCUAAAAUAAAAUCCUACACUCUUGGAAUCAAAGCCUCAGAGGUUAGGGAUUUGAUUCCCUUAACCGAAACUCACACCCUGACAUCAAGAAGUGAGUGAAACAAGGAAGAAGCACUAACCUGUGAAAUUCUCCAGCAACGGUGGUGACGGCGACGAUGAGCUUCCAGGUUGCAUCAUGUUAAUGGUGAUGAUGAUGGUCAAGGCUUGAUGGAUGUUGCUACAGGUCAUGAUGUAUGAAUGUAGGGCAUGACUGUAGGUUCAAGGCGGAUGUGUAUUGAUGCAGCGAGUCAUGGUGAGGUUACAGCAGGUCGAUGGUCAUGGUUGGUGAGAUCAUGUUUUGGGAGCUGAUAUGUCAUGCUUGGCCUUGGUGUAGUUGUGACUAAUUCCAGGAUUGGAUGUAGGGUAGUGAUGACAUUCAUGCCAGUUGCUUUUCAUGCUUAUGAUUGCAUUCUCCUUGGCCUGCUAUGCAAUGUAAACAAGUCUGCAAUAUUGGUUUAACUUUCUAUUUCUUUGGUUUUGGCACAUCCUGUUUGGCAUGAGAGAUGAGACUUAAUGCUGGAUGCUGGAUCUUGUUGAUGUUUAUUGUUUUGCAGGUGAUUGCUGAUGAUGAUGAUGAUGUGGCAUGCCAAUGUACUCCAUGAUGGUUUAUGUUUUUAUCAAUGCUAUCCUUGUAUGACCAAUUGGGAUAAUUUUGGCCUUGUUCUGUUAUCCACUAUGUUGUUGUUUGCAGGUCCAAUAUUUGCUUUGCGACUUGGUGUCAUGGUGUAACAUUCCUUGUGGACAACCCCUUCCAUUUGAACUUAAUCCAUUGAAAUACCUUGAUAUUGGUAAGGAUUUUGUUAGGUUAAAAUGUUUCAUUAUAUAAGUGAUCUUGGUUGUCUAUUCUACAGCUGGUUCUUUUUUGCAUAUGGUUUUGAUUUGUGUCACACUUUGGCUAGGUCUGAGCAAGCUUCUGACUUGACUCAAUGUUUUGAUGGUUCAAAUUUGUAGGUACUAUUUUGUCUUGUGCAACAGGGUGGUCAUUGCAAUUCUGACUUUGGUUCAAUGUUGGCUUAGGCAAUGCUUGUUUGGUUGCUUAUUUCCUAUUGUGUAAAGACUCAUGUCCCUUUGAUUGUUUUGCCAUGAACAUGAGUGAACCAUGCUAAAACCUUUUGCCCAGUUAGAACUAUUCUAUUAAUUUCCAUUAGAUCAAUGUUAGUGAUUAACAUGAUUAAUGAGAUGCAUGUGUAUUCAUUGGCUUGUCUCCUGAUCUUUGUAAUCCUGACUUUGCAUAAUAUGCUAAGUGUUCUGACUUGGUCUUUUCCAUGCCCAGGUAUUGUUCUUGGCCUUGCCUUGCACCAGGUAUGCAACCAGUCCUGGCACAUUAUGCCUCAAAGUGCAGCACUGUGUACUGUCAAGGCUUACACCAGGUGACCAUAGUUCAACAUUAUUUUGGCUUGGUUUGUCAUGAGUCCUGUUCAUAUUUUGCAGCAUGGCAUCAUGGUUCUGUAGCAUGUAGCAGCAGGUCUUGUUGGCUCAUGGUGCUACAGCAGGAUGACACAUGAGUGUUGCUUGUUCUUGGCAGAUUUGCAUUGUUCAUUUUGCUAUAGGUCAUGUGUACAUGGAGUGUGGUUAGAUAAGGCAACAAGACAUCAAACUUGGCAUUUGGAUUAUCAUGUGCCAAAGACAAAUUCCAUGACCAAAGAUUCAAAUAUUCAAGAUUAGGAAUGUAGUUAGGAUAUGGAUUUAGAUUUUUAGGCCUUUUGGAAGAAAAAGGUAGAGUUGACUUUGGCCAAAGUUGACCAAAAAGUCAAUUGUUUACCAAAGUCAACCCUUGGUCAAAGUUGUAAAAAAAUGUAUUUUUCAUGUAAUGACCAAUGUGAUGGAUUAUAAUGGACUGAAAGAAAUUAGUUUUAAAUGGAUUGAAAAUGGUUUGAAAA